This 2110-nucleotide long non-coding RNA is filed under the name Coturnix japonica (Japanese quail). RNAcentral describes it as "lncRNA (ENSCJPG00005000453.1)". The record is from RNAcentral. Lineage: Eukaryota; Metazoa; Chordata; Aves; Galliformes; Phasianidae.
AUGAGGAGGGGGAUGAAGAUGAGAAUGAAGAUGAGGAUAGGGAUGAAGAUGAGGAGGAUGAGGAGCAGGAUGGAGAUGGAGAUGAAGAUGAGGAUGAGGAAGAUGUGGAUGGGGAUGAAGAUGAGGAUGAGGAAGAUGUGGAUGGGGAUGAAGAUGAGGAUAAGGAGGAUGAUGAGGAUGGGGACAGAGAUGAAGAUGAGGAUAAGGCUAAGAAUAGGGAUAAAAAUGAGGAUAAUGAAGACGAGAAUAGGGCUGAACAUGAGGAUGGGGAUGAAGAGGAUGAUGAAGAUGAGGAUAGGGCGGAAAAUGAGGAUGAUGAAGAUCAGGAUGGGGAUGAAGAUGAGGAUGAUGAAGAUGAGGAUGAGGAUGAUAGGGCUGAAGAUGAGGACAGGGAUAAAGAUGAGGAUAGGGAUGAGGAUGGGGCUGAAGAUGAGGAGGAGGCGGAUAGGGCUGAAGGUGACGAUGAUGAAGAUGAAGAUAGGGAUGAAGAUGAGGAUGGGGCUGAAGCUGAAGAUGAGGAGUAUAGGGAUGAAGAUGAGGAUGAUGAAGGGGCUGAAGAAGCUGAGGAUGAGGAGAAUAAGGAUAGGGAUGAUGAUGAGGAGGAGGAGAAUGGGGCUGAAGAUGAUGAGGAGGGCCGAGGCCGAAGAUGGGGAAGAGGAAGAUGAGAUGGGGAUGAAGCUGAGGAUGAUGAUGAUGAGGAGGAGGAGGAUAGGGCUGAAGAUGAGGAUGGGGAUGAAGAUGAUGAGGAGGAGUGGGAAAGGGCUGAAUAUGAAGAUGAUGAAGAUGAGGAUGGGGAUGAAGAUGAGGAUGAUGAAGAUGAGGAUGAUGAAGAUGAGGAUAGGGGUAAAGAUGAGGCUGAGGAUGAUGAUGAGGAUGGGGAUGAAGCUGAGGACGAUGAAGAUGAGGAUGGGGAUAAAGAUAAGGAUGAGGAGGAUAAGGAUGGGGAUGGGGAUGAAGAUGAAGCUGAGGAUGAUGAUGAUGAAGAUGAAGAUGAUGAUGAUGACGAUGAGGCCGAAGGCCGAAUCCUGCAUCUCACCAUGUCCCCUAUUGCCGCCCCCUCCCCUAUUGAUGCUGACGGGGGCGGCCCCGGGCCGGGCUCGAUGGAAAUGAUGGACGGGGGCGGCUCCUCGGGCUCGAUGUGACGCCGAUAAAGACGAGGAAACACGAGCCCCCCCAGCGCCGCCCCCCCCCCCUAAAAGCAACCCCAGAGCCAGCAGGACACGGAGCGCCAUCUUACUNGAGGAGGAGAAGGAGGAGGAGGAGGAGGAGGAGGAGGAGGAGGAUAGGGCUGAAGAUGAGGAUGGGGAUGAAGGUGAGGAUGAUGAUGAUGAGGAUAGGGAUAAAGAUGAGGACGGAGCUGAAGUAGCUGAGGAUGAUGAAGAUGAGGAUGAAGAUGAGGAUGGGGAAGAAAAUGAGGAGGAGGAGGAGACAGAUGGGGAUGAAGAUGAGAAUGAUAAAGAUGAGGACGGGGAUGAAGCUGAGGAUGAUGAAGGACAAGGAUGGGGAUGAAGAAGCGGCAAAUGAUGAUGAUGAGGAUGGGGAUGAAGAUGAGGAUAGGGCUGAAGAUGAGGAUGAGGAGGAUGAGGAGGUGUAGGAAGGGGCUGAAGAUGAGGAUGGGGAUGAAGAUGAGGAUGAUGAGGAUAGGGAUAAAGAUGAGGAUGAUGAAGAUGAUGAUGGGGCUGAAGAUGAGGAUGAUGAAGAUGAGGAUAGGGAUGAAGCUGAGGGCGAUGAAGAUGAGGAUGGGGAUGAAGAUGAUGAUGAUGAGGAUAGGGAAAAGAUGAGGCUGAGGAUGAUGAGGAUGAAGAUGAGGAUGAUGAAGAUGAGGAUGGGGAUAAAGAUGAGGAUGAUGAAGAUGAAGAUGGGGAUGAAGAUGAUGAUGAUGAGGAUGAGGAGGAGGAGGAGGAGGACAGGGCUUAAGAUGAGCAUAGGGCUGAAGAUGAGGAUGAGGAUGAAGAUGAAGAUGAGGAUGAUGAUGAUGAGGAUAGGGAUGAAGAUGAGGAUGGGGAUGAAGAUGAGGAUGAUGAAGAUGAGGAUGGGGAUGAAGAUGAUGAUGAUGAAGAUGAGGAUGGGGAUGAAGAUGAGGAUGAAGAUGAUGAGGACAGGGAUGAAG